CCUACGGGCGGCAGCAGUAGGGAAUCUUCCACAAUGGGCGAAAGCCUGAUGGAGCAACGCCGCGUGGGUGAAGAAGGUCUUCGGAUCGUAAAACCCUGUUGUUAGAGAAGAAAGUGCGUGAGAGUAACUGUUCACGUGUCUACGGUAUCUAACCAGAAAGCCACGGCUAACUACGUGCCAGCAGCCGCGGGAAUACGUAGGGGGCAAGCGUUAUCCGGAUUUAUUGGGCGUAAAGGGAACGCAGGCGGUCUUUUAAGUCCGAUGUGAAAGCCUUCGGCUUAACCGGAGUAGUGCAUUGGAAACUGGGUGACUUGAGUGAAGAAGAGGAGAGUGGAACUCCAUGUGUAGCGGUGAAAUGCGUAGAUAUAUGGAAGAACACCAGUGGCGAAGGCGGCUCUCUGGUCUGUAACUGACGCUGAGGUUCGAAAGCGUGGGUAGCAAACAGGAUUAGAUACCCGAGUAGUC
RNAcentral lists this ribosomal RNA (465 nucleotides) under uncultured bacterium. RNAcentral describes it as "partial 16S ribosomal RNA". It matches the Rfam family "Bacterial small subunit ribosomal RNA", at positions 338 to 795 of the family's 1533-position model. The record is from RNAcentral.